Molecule: non-coding RNA, 1980 nt
Organism: Odocoileus virginianus texanus
Lineage: Eukaryota; Metazoa; Chordata; Mammalia; Artiodactyla; Cervidae
Source: RefSeq, a predicted model, not a curated record
CGUUAAGCCACUGGGUCUUCACAUGAGGAGACUGUGGCAGGACGCUGAGGGCCACUGCUGUGGCAACCGGCCACUCUGCCCCUGGGGACCACACCGUGUGCCUCGUUAGAUGGGGUGGGGUGGCCAGGGUGCUUUUGGUCUGACUCAGCGAGCAGCCUGUCAGGCGACCCCGCAGGGUGACAGGAAGUGCCCGUGUGCCAUGGUCACAGGAAAAGCCAGGCCUUACUUUCUUUCCCCUUCCCAUCUGCUAAUUUGAUUUGCCAUGUUAAAUUUGAUUUAUUAUUGACUAUCACCUUAAGCUGUUUUUAGGGCAUGGAAGGCUAUAAAUAUAUAUGCAGUUAGACCCAGAGGACUCAGCAAGCUGGUCCUUCUCCAACAGUAAGUGUGAUGGUCUUGACGUGUAUUUUUGGUUCUAAAUGACCCCAGCUGACCUCCUGCAGUGCUUGGAUUCAUCCAGUAACCAUCAAGUUUGCUUUCCACUCAGCCUCGCAUAGACACAUGAACUCUGCAUGGCUUUGCUCCACUUUCUGGGUGAGUUCCUGUAAAUCUACAAAAUGUUGAGCAGAGGACAACACCACACUUGCUUUUUUCAAACUCUAGAGAGAAAACAAUUGAAUCUAGUUAGGUUUUUCCUCUCCCUUAUUUUAUUAGCACCAUGCUCUAACCAACUGAGCUAACUGGCCACUUUCCCUUAUUUUAAAGCUGUCAUAGUUUCAGUGGGGCCUGAAGAUGCAGGUUUAGUCCAGACCUUGACCAGCACAGCCCAUGGACGAGAUUGCUCCCUAGCACUCCACUUAACAUCCACACGCUGGAGGGUUCUGCUUCAGAGUCCAGGCGUUUUGAAAAUUCCCCAGGAACAUGUAUGAAAUCUUUUUGGUUUGAAACCAAACUCAAAAUUUGUGUUAAGGACAACAUCCUUCUUUGAGGAAGGCAUUUCCUUUUGUUCUUUUAAAAAAAUAUUUAUUUUAUGUAUUUGGCUGCACCAGGUUAUAGUUGUGGUAUACCAACCACCAACUUAGUCGUGGCAUGUGGGUGGGAUCUAGUUCCCUGACCAGGGAUCGAACCCAGUCCCCCUGCAUUGGGAACACAGAUUCUUAGCUACUGGACCACAAAGGAAGUCGCUCCUUUUGUCCUGAUUCAAACUAUCGAUGGGGGUCUCUGAAGACUUUUAUCACGGAUGCUAGCAUGAGUUGAAGUUCAGAGUCACCUGGCCACAGCUUUCUCACAUUACUACAGCCUGAGGGGGCAGAGUGUAAUGGUCACAGGCUCAGCCAUGAGCUGGUGAGUCAGACUGAACGUUGUGACGUUGGGAUCUUUUAUGUCCGAUGUUUCCCUCAGGGAGUUUGGUUAGAUGGCAGAUGUGUGACUGUGUGGAACUGGUCUGACAGUGCUGGGCACUGUGAUGGCUACAGGGCCAUGAUUUUGAACAAAAUAACCAGCACACCCUGGUGGCCAGAGGGAGAAGGGAACCUGCAGACAAGGUGUUAAAAGAUCGAUCGUGGAUGCUCCUGAUACUGUGAGAACGGCGGCCUGGCUUGUGGGGGUCUCUUGCCAGUUAGGUGCGUGGAGGGAUCCAUCCUCAGCCUGAAAGAGGGCUCACUGGAUGGCCUCAGUCUGGCUUUUUCUCUCCAUCCACCCUCUCUUCCCUGAGUCGACCUGGCAGCCUUGGUAGCGCUCGCUGGUCCAGUCACUUCUGGCUUCCAACAUUCUCUCAAGGCUCUCAAAAAAAGAAAAAGGCCAAGAAGAUUUGCCGUCCUCAGGGUGGCGUUCGGCCUGUGAGGAGCUGUGGGGAGAGGAGAUGGACGCAGAGGAAGAAAGGCAGGAUCCCCGGGAUGUGGACUGUGUGCAUUUUGGAGAUGAGGAAAUUGCGGAUCAGAAUGUUUAUAAAAACUGUCAAAGAUCACAGUGCCAGGAAGUGGUGAAGUUGAGACUGGAACCAGAGCAAGUCUGAAUCUAGAGUCAGGAGUCACCCACUGCUAC